Molecule: ribosomal RNA, 450 nt
Filed under: uncultured bacterium
Lineage: Bacteria
Description: partial 16S ribosomal RNA
Rfam family: Bacterial small subunit ribosomal RNA
Source: RNAcentral
GUGGGGAAUUUUGGACAAUGGGCGCAAGCCUGAUCCAGCCAUGCCGCGUGCAGGAUGAAGGCCUUCGGGUUGUAAACUGCUUUUGUACGGAACGAAACGGCUCUUUCUAAUAAAGAGGGCUAAUGACGGUACCGUAAGAAUAAGCACCGGCUAACUACGUGCCAGCAGCCGCGGUAAUACGUAGGGUGCGAGCGUUAAUCGGAAUUACUGGGCGUAAAGCGUGCGCAGGCGGUGAUGUAAGACAGAUGUGAAAUCCCCGGGCUCAACCUGGGAACUGCAUUUGUGACUGCAUCGCUGGAGUGCGGCAGAGGGGGAUGGAAUUCCGCGUGUAGCAGUGAAAUGCGUAGAUAUGCGGAGGAACACCGAUGGCGAAGGCAGCCUCCUGGGAUAACACUGACGCUCAGGCACGAAAGCGUGGGGAGCAAACAGGAUUAGAUACCCUGGUAGUCC